GCCUACGGGUGGCUGCAGUGGGGAAUAUUGCACAAUGGGCGCAAGCCUGAUGCAGCCAUGCCGCGUGUAUGAAGAAGGCCUUCGGGUUGUAAAGUACUUUCAGCGGGGAGGAAGGUGUUGUGGUUAAUAACCACAGCAAUUGACGUUACCCGCAGAAGAAGCACCGGCUAACUCCGUGCCAGCAGCCGCGGUAAUACGGAGGGUGCAAGCGUUAAUCGGAAUUACUGGGCGUAAAGCGCACGCAGGCGGUCUGUCAAGUCGGAUGUGAAAUCCCCGGGCUCAACCUGGGAACUGCAUUCGAAACUGGCAGGCUAGAGUCUUGUAGAGGGGGGUAGAAUUCCAGGUGUAGCGGUGAAAUGCGUAGAGAUCUGGAGGAAUACCGGUGGCGAAGGCGGCCCCCUGGACAAAGACUGACGCUCAGGUGCGAAAGCGUGGGGAGCAAACAGGAUUAGAUACCCCAGUAGUC
RNAcentral lists this ribosomal RNA (466 nucleotides) under uncultured Enterobacteriaceae bacterium. RNAcentral's name for it is "bacterial SSU rRNA". It matches the Rfam family "Bacterial small subunit ribosomal RNA", at positions 337 to 795 of the family's 1533-position model. Lineage: Bacteria; Pseudomonadati; Pseudomonadota; Gammaproteobacteria; Enterobacterales; Enterobacteriaceae. The record is from RNAcentral.